RNAcentral lists this ribosomal RNA (450 nucleotides) under uncultured bacterium. Its description in RNAcentral is "partial 16S ribosomal RNA". It matches the Rfam family "Bacterial small subunit ribosomal RNA", at positions 354 to 796 of the family's 1533-position model. The record is from RNAcentral.
GUGAGGAAUUUUCCGCAAUGGGCGCAAGCCUGAUCCAGCAAUGCCGCGUGUGUGAAGAAGGCCUUCGGGUUGUAAAGCACUUUUGUCCGGAAAGAAAUCUCCUGGGUUAAUACCUCGGGGGGAUGACGGUACCGGAAGAAUAAGCACCGGCUAACUACGUGCCAGCAGCCGCGGUAAUACGUAGGGUGCGAGCGUUAAUCGGAAUUACUGGGCGUAAAGCGUGCGCAGGCGGCUAUGCAAGACAGAUGUGAAAUCCCCGGGCUCAACCUGGGAACUGCAUUUGUGACUGCAUGGCUAGAGUGCGUCAGAGGGAGGUGGAAUUCCGCGUGUAGCAGUGAAAUGCGUAGAGAUGCGGAGGAACACCGAUGGCGAAGGCAGCCUCCUGGGAUGACACUGACGCUCAUGCACGAAAGCGUGGGGAGCAAACAGGAUUAGAAACCCUGGUAGUCC